Molecule: ribosomal RNA, 253 nt
Filed under: uncultured bacterium
Lineage: Bacteria
Description: partial 16S ribosomal RNA
Rfam family: Bacterial small subunit ribosomal RNA
Source: RNAcentral
UACGUAGGGUGCAAGCGUUGUCCGGAAUUAUUGGGCGUAAAGAGCUUGUAGGCGGUUUGUCGCGUCUGCUGUGAAAUUUCGGGGCUUAACCCCGAGCCUGCAGUGGAUACGGGCAGACUAGAGGUAGGUAGGGGAGAAUGGAAUUCCCGGUGUAGCGGUGAAAUGCGCAGAUAUCGGGAGGAACACCGGUGGCGAAGGCGGUUCUCUGGGCCUUACCUGACGCUGAGGAGCGAAAGCGUGGGGAGCGAACAGG